This 897-nucleotide ribosomal RNA is filed under the name Cobetia marina. RNAcentral describes it as "bacterial SSU rRNA". It matches the Rfam family "Bacterial small subunit ribosomal RNA", at positions 555 to 1452 of the family's 1533-position model. The record is from RNAcentral. Lineage: Bacteria; Pseudomonadati; Pseudomonadota; Gammaproteobacteria; Oceanospirillales; Halomonadaceae.
UGGGCGUAAAGCGCGCGUAGGUGGCUAAGUCAGCCAGGUGUGAAAGCCCCGGGCUCAACCUGGGAACGGCAUCUGGAACUGCUUGGCUAGAGUGCAGGAGAGGAAGGUAGAAUUCCCGGUGUAGCGGUGAAAUGCGUAGAGAUCGGGAGGAAUACCAGUGGCGAAGGCGGCCUUCUGGACUGACACUGACACUGAGGUGCGAAAGCGUGGGUAGCAAACAGGAUUAGAUACCCUGGUAGUCCACGCCGUAAACGAUGUCAACUAGCCGUUGGGUCCCUUGAGGACUUAGUGGCGCAGCUAACGCAAUAAGUUGACCGCCUGGGGAGUACGGCCGCAAGGUUAAAACUCAAAUGAAUUGACGGGGGCCCGCACAAGCGGUGGAGCAUGUGGUUUAAUUCGAUGCAACGCGAAGAACCUUACCUACCCUUGACAUCCAGAGGACUUUCCAGAGAUGGAUUGGUGCCUUCGGGAACUCUGAGACAGGUGCUGCAUGGCUGUCGUCAGCUCGUGUUGUGAAAUGUUGGGUUAAGUCCCGUAACGAGCGCAACCCCUAUCCUUAUUUGCCAGCGAGUCAUGUCGGGAACUCUAAGGAGACUGCCGGUGACAAACCGGAGGAAGGUGGGGACGACGUCAAGUCAUCAUGGCCCUUACGGGUAGGGCUACACACGUGCUACAAUGGCAAGUACAAAGGGUUGCAAUACGGCGACGUGGAGCCAAUCCCAUAAAGCUUGCCUCAGUCCGGAUUGGAGUCUGCAACUCGACUCCAUGAAGUCGGAAUCGCUAGUAAUCGUGGAUCAGAAUGCCACGGUGAAUACGUUCCCGGGCCUUGUACACACCGCCCGUCACACCAUGGGAGUGGACUGCACCAGAAGUGGUUAGCCUAACCUUCGGAGGGCG